AUUGAACGCUGGCGGCGUGCUUAACACAUGCAAGUCGAGCGGUAACAGGUGUAGCAAUACAUGCUGACGAGCGGCGAACGGGUGAGUAAUGCUUCGGAAUCUUCCUCGUAGUGGGGAAUAACCUGGGGAAACUCAGGCUAAUACCGCAUAUGAACUACGGUUGAAAGCAGGGGAUCGCAAGACCUUGCGCUAUGAGAUGAGCCGAAGUCGGAUUAGCUAGUUGGUGAGGUAAAGGCUCACCAAGGCGACGAUCCGUAGCUGGUCUGAGAGGACGACCAGCCACACUGGGACUGAGACACGGCCCAGACUCCUACGGGAGGCAGCAGUGGGGAAUAUUGGACAAUGGGGGGCAACCCUGAUCCAGCAACGCCGCGUGAAGGAAGAAGGGCUUUCGGGUUGUAAACUUCUUUUGGCAGGGACGAAACAAAUGACGGUACCUGCAGAAUAAGCUCCGGCUAACUACGUGCCAGCAGCCGCGGUAAU
Molecule: ribosomal RNA, 483 nt
Filed under: uncultured bacterium
Lineage: Bacteria
Description: bacterial SSU rRNA
Rfam family: Bacterial small subunit ribosomal RNA
Source: RNAcentral